Molecule: ribosomal RNA, 876 nt
Filed under: uncultured crenarchaeote
Lineage: Archaea; Thermoproteati; Thermoproteota
Description: bacterial SSU rRNA
Rfam family: Archaeal small subunit ribosomal RNA
Source: RNAcentral
ACCUGACUGCUAUCGGAUUGAUACUAAGCCAUGCGAGUCAUUGUANCAAUACAAGGCAUACGGCUCAGUAACGCGUAGUCAACCUAACCUAUGGACGGGAAUAACCUCGGGAAACUGAGAAUAAUGCCCGAUAGAACACUAUACCUGGAAUGGUUUGUGUUCCAAAUGAUUUAUCGCCAUAGGAUGGGACUGCGGCCUAUCAGUUUGUUGGUGAGGUAAUGGCCCACCAAGACUAUUACAGGUACGGGCUCUGAGAGGAGUAGCCCGGAGAUGGGUACUGAGACACGGACCCAGGCCCUAUGGGGCGCAGCAGGCGAGAAAACUUUGCAAUGUGCGAAAGCACGACAAGGUUAAUCCGAGUGAUUUGUGCUAAACGAAUCUUUUGUUAGUCCUAGAAACACUAACGAAUAAGGGGUGGGCAAGUUCUGGUGUCAGCCGCCGCGGUAAAACCAGCACCUCAAGUGGUCAGGAUGAUUAUUGGGCCUAAAGCAUCCGUAGCCGGCUCUGUAAGUUUUCGGUUAAAUCUGUACGCUUAACGUACAGGCUGCCGGGAAUACUGCAGAGCUAGGGAGUGGGAGAGGUAGACGGUACUCGGUAGGAAGUGGUAAAAUGCUUUGAUCUAUCGAUGACCACCUGUGGCGAAGGCGGUCUACCAGAACACGUCCGACGGUGAGGGAUGAAAGCUGGGGGAGCAAACCGGAUUAGAUACCCGGGUAGUCCCAGCUGUAAACUAUGCAAACUCAGUGAUGCAUUGGCUUGUGGCCAAUGCAGUGCUGCAGGGAAGCCGUUAAGUUUGCCGCCUGGGAAGUACGUACGCAAGUAUGAAACUUAAAGGAAUUGGCGGGGGAGCACCACAAGGGGUGAAGCCUGCGGUUC